CUUAAAAUCUAGAUUUAUUUAUCUCUGGUUUUUUUGUUUUUUUUUUUUUUUCCCGUACAGGCAAACCACUGAGAUCCUGUUGUUUUUGGGGGCAUUUCACCUGAAAUAAGAUGAUGAUGUGUCUUCAUAAAUUCAAAGAAUUAGCCUCUGAGUUCAUCUUUCAUUUCCCUGGAAACCAGAGCACUGUGGAUGAGUACUUGGCUCUGACCCAGAGCUGAAUCACAAGCAGUUUCGGCAUCUGUGAGAGAGUCCAAGAUCUCUCCCGAACUCAGCAGCACAAACUUAAUUCUGUUCUAUCCUUCACAAGCCACUUCUGACCGGAUUGCUCUCAUGUAGCACAGGCACUGAAGUGAUGUCUAAAUUAGAGCCUACAUUACUCCUCUGUCUGUCAAAGUGAAUGCAAGGAGAAAGAAAAGCCAGGAGGGAUAGUUUCAAACAGAUGAGCAGUCAUGCCUAUGUGUCUGUGUUUAAAACAGUGGGCUCCUGAUUUCACCUGUGCUCUGCCUUCAUGUAGAGAGGAGAUGUAGGUUUGUACUUCCCUUUGUGAUGGCAGGGCACUUGCUUAAGGACUAGCAAAGGAAAAGGCAACAGGGACAGGAGUUUCUGGAUAUACAGUGGCCCUGCACACUGCUGCUCCUAAGUGCAGUGCAUUGUACUUCCUCAGUGAAAAAGAGAAACCUCUCUAACAAAGCAUUUUAACAGGGCCUAAACAGCCACAUGUGUGAAAAAAAUAUGUUUGCAUUUUACUUUCCUCACCUGCAAAAUCAAACUGCUCUAUUUAUUCAUAAUAUAUUUAUGAAGUAAUUAAAAUUUUCAAAAAAAACCCUCUACUGUUCAUUCACAUAUUAACUGGAACUCAGUAUAGCUACCAAACAUAUAAAUAGUGCUCUGUACUUACGGUCUUGUCAGUGAUGAGCCAAUAAAUACACUGUUUACCUGCA
This 941-nucleotide long non-coding RNA is filed under the name Cyanistes caeruleus (blue tit). RNAcentral describes it as "lncRNA (ENSCCEG00000000243.1)". The record is from RNAcentral. Lineage: Eukaryota; Metazoa; Chordata; Aves; Passeriformes; Paridae.